UUGCGUUCCACGAACCCGGAAGUGGAUCACAGACGUUUAUUUUCAUUUCCUUCAUUAUUAUAGUUACUCCAAACGUGUGUGGGUAGAUGAAUAAACAGAGUGGGGGGAGGAAAUACUAUUAAAAAAACUCUGGAUGGCACCACAUUAAUAAGAUUAUUACAAUAAUUUCGAUCAUUUUACAAUAGAAUCUAUGGGUGCAGAAACAUGC
Non-coding RNA from Pelobates cultripes (western spadefoot toad), 208 nucleotides. The record is from the annotation of a GenBank genome assembly. NCBI's taxonomy places the organism in Eukaryota, Metazoa, Chordata, Amphibia, Anura, Pelobatidae.